AUUGAACGCUGGCGGCAGGCUUAACACAUGCAAGUCGAGCGAGCGGCGGACGGGUGAGUAAUGUCUGGGAAACUGCCUGAUGGAGGGGGAUAACUACUGGAAACGGUAGCUAAUCCCGCAUACCAUCAGAUGUGCCCAGAUGGGAUUAGCUCGUUGGGGGGGUAAUGUAUCACCAAGGCGACGAUCCCUAGCUGGUCUGAGAGGAUGACCAGCCACACGGGAACUGAGACACGGUCCAGACUCCUACGGGAGGCAGCAGUGGGGAAUAUUGCACAAUGGGCGCAAGCCUGAUGCAGCCAUGCCGCGUGUGUGAAGAAGGCCUUCGGGUUGUAAAGUACUUUCAGCGGGGAGGCGUUACCCGCAGAAGAAGCACCGGCUAACUCCGUGCCAGCAGCCGCGGUAAUAC
RNAcentral lists this ribosomal RNA (406 nucleotides) under uncultured bacterium. RNAcentral describes it as "partial 16S ribosomal RNA". It matches the Rfam family "Bacterial small subunit ribosomal RNA", at positions 30 to 526 of the family's 1533-position model. The record is from RNAcentral.